GUCCUGAUAGCUUAUAAAGCAUUGGCCUUGUAAGCCAAAGAAUGUGGGCCCCACCACUCAAGACU
RNAcentral lists this transfer RNA (65 nucleotides) under Synapturanus sp. QCAZ 59998. RNAcentral describes it as "tRNA-Thr". It matches the Rfam family "tRNA". Rfam says of the family: Transfer RNA (tRNA) molecules are approximately 80 nucleotides in length. Their secondary structure includes four short double-helical elements and three loops (D, anti-codon, and T loops). The record is from RNAcentral. Lineage: Eukaryota; Metazoa; Chordata; Amphibia; Anura; Microhylidae.